RNAcentral lists this transfer RNA (68 nucleotides) under Ovis aries (sheep). It matches the Rfam family "tRNA". Rfam says of the family: Transfer RNA (tRNA) molecules are approximately 80 nucleotides in length. Their secondary structure includes four short double-helical elements and three loops (D, anti-codon, and T loops). Lineage: Eukaryota; Metazoa; Chordata; Mammalia; Artiodactyla; Bovidae. The record is from Rfam by way of RNAcentral.
CCUGAUGGCUCAGUGGUAAAGAAUCUGCGUGCAAUGCAGGAGAUCCAGGUUCUAUCCCUGGGUCAGGA